GCGACCCCAGGUCGGGCGGGACUACCCGCUGAGUUUAAGCAUAUCAAUAAGCGGAGGA
RNAcentral lists this ribosomal RNA (58 nucleotides) under Senecio massaicus. RNAcentral's name for it is "partial 25S ribosomal RNA". Lineage: Eukaryota; Viridiplantae; Streptophyta; Magnoliopsida; Asterales; Asteraceae. The record is from RNAcentral.